GAUGAACGCUGGCGGCGUGCCUAAUACAUGCAAGUCGAGCGAACGGACGAGAAGCUUGCUUCUCUGAUGUUAGCGGCGGACGGGUGAGUAACACGUGGAUAACCUACCUAUAAGACUGGGAUAACUUCGGGAAACCGGAGCUAAUACCGGAUGAUAUUUUGAACCGCAUGGUUCAAAAGUGAAAGACGGUCUUGCUGUCACUUAUAGAUGGAUCCGUGCUGCAUUAGCUAGUUGGUAAGGUAACGGCUUACCAAGGCAACGAUGCAUAGCCGACCUGAGAGGGUGAUCGGCCACACUGGAACUGAGACACGGUCCAGACUCCUACGGGAGGCAGCAGUAGGGAAUCUUCCGCAAUGGGCGAAAGCCUGACGGAGCAACGCCGCGUGAGUGAUGAAGGUCUUCGGAUCGUAAAACUCUGUUAUUAGGGAAGAACAUAUGUGUAAGUAACUGUGCACAUCUUGACGGUACCUAAUCAGAAAGCAACGGCUAACUACGUG
Molecule: ribosomal RNA, 497 nt
Filed under: uncultured bacterium
Lineage: Bacteria
Description: partial 16S ribosomal RNA
Rfam family: Bacterial small subunit ribosomal RNA
Source: RNAcentral